Molecule: unclassified non-coding RNA, 224 nt
Filed under: plant metagenome
Description: partial contains small subunit ribosomal RNA, internal transcribed spacer 1, and 5.8S ribosomal RNA
Source: RNAcentral
UCUCCGUUGGUGAACCAGCGGAGGGAUCAUUACAGGACUCGCAAGACUCCUUCACCCUGUAAACCUCACUACAAGCACGUUGCUUCGGCGGGUGUCCCGGCGGGGGUUCUCCCUCGCCGGGGCGCACAGCCCGCCGGCAGCCUACUAUACUCUGUCUCUUUGCGUUGGCAUCUCGAGAAAAAACAAACAAGUUAAAACUUUCAACAACGGAUCUCUUGGUUCUG